This 428-nucleotide ribosomal RNA is filed under the name uncultured bacterium. RNAcentral describes it as "bacterial SSU rRNA". It matches the Rfam family "Bacterial small subunit ribosomal RNA", at positions 354 to 796 of the family's 1533-position model. The record is from RNAcentral.
GUAGGGAAUAUUGCACAAUGGGGGAAACCCUGAUGCAGCGACGCCGCGUGAGUGAUGAAGGCCUUCGGGUCGUAAAGCUCUGUCGUAUGGGACUAACACAAUGAAGGUACCAUGCAAGAAAGGAUCGGCUAACUUCGUGCCAGCAGCCGCGGUAAGACGAGGGAUCCUAGCGUUGUUCGGAAUCAUUGGGCGUAAAGCGGGUGUAGGCGGAUUUAUAAGUCAGGUGUGAAAUCCCAGGGCUCAACCCUGGAAGUGCACUUGAUACUGUAAAUCUUGAGUGUGGUAGAGGUUACUGGAAUUGUUGGUGUAGUGGUGAAAUACGUAGAUAUCAACAGGAAUACCGGAGGCGAAGGCGAGUAACUGGGCCAACACUGACGCUGAGACCCGAAAGCGUGGGGAUCAAACAGGAUUAGAAACCCUGGUAGUCC